This 280-nucleotide unclassified non-coding RNA is filed under the name Cyphobasidium usneicola. Its description in RNAcentral is "partial contains 5.8S ribosomal RNA, internal transcribed spacer 2, and large subunit ribosomal RNA". Lineage: Eukaryota; Fungi; Basidiomycota; Cystobasidiomycetes; Cyphobasidiales; Cyphobasidiaceae. The record is from RNAcentral.
CGCACAUUGCAUUCUUUGGUAUUCCAAAGAGUAUGUCUGUUUGAGUAUUAUUUCAACCUUUUAAAGCAAUCAAUUCUGAAUUGAUUGUUUUGACGUGAGCAUGAAAUUGUUCUUGCUUGAAAUUCAUUAUUACGUAUCAAUAUUUAACGAUAAUCCAUUGUAAUCAAGAGUAUCUUGCAAACUUGGUUGUCUUCAAAUAUUGAUACUUUGACUUGGAAAAAAAAAAAAGAGUCACUACUUUAAUGAUCUCAAAUCAGAUAGGAUUACCCGCUGAACUUAA